GCAAUAGUAGCUCAGCGUUCAGAGCGCCGGUCUUGUAAGCCGAAUGUCGAAGGCUAAAUUCCUUCCUACUGCU
This 73-nucleotide transfer RNA is filed under the name Stegastes leucostictus (beaugregory). Its description in RNAcentral is "tRNA-Thr". It matches the Rfam family "tRNA". Rfam says of the family: Transfer RNA (tRNA) molecules are approximately 80 nucleotides in length. Their secondary structure includes four short double-helical elements and three loops (D, anti-codon, and T loops). Lineage: Eukaryota; Metazoa; Chordata; Actinopteri; Pomacentridae. The record is from RNAcentral.